GGGACCUCAGUUGAGAAAAAGGAUAAAUGAGUCAUUUAUUACACAUGAGUUUACAGAGGAAGAGGUUCUAUUUCAACUGUCAAAAGUAAAGACAAAUAAAUCAAUGGGACCUGAUGGAAUAUACCCAAAGCUGUUAAAAGAGCUUAGUGGUGUACUAGCAAAACCAUUAACAGAUUUAUUUAACCAAUCAUUGUUAACAGGAGUAGUCCCAGAAGAAUGGAAGUUAGCGAAUGUUGGGCCCAUUUACAAGAAAGGUAAUAGGGAGGAGUCGGGCAACUAUAGGCCAGUAAGCCUUACUUCAGUAGUGGGGAAAGUGAUGG
This 320-nucleotide long non-coding RNA is filed under the name Pelobates cultripes (western spadefoot toad). The record is from RNAcentral. Lineage: Eukaryota; Metazoa; Chordata; Amphibia; Anura; Pelobatidae.